Molecule: long non-coding RNA, 742 nt
Filed under: Homo sapiens (human)
Lineage: Eukaryota; Metazoa; Chordata; Mammalia; Primates; Hominidae
Description: HSALNT0221691
Source: RNAcentral
UCCAUUCAUUCAAGAAAUAUUUAUUAAAGACCUACAAUGUGCCAAGCACCAUUCUAGACCCUGGGGAUAUGGCCUGAAACCAGACAGGAGAGCCCUGCCCACGUGGAGCUCAUUCUUGUGGAGGAGAUGUGUGGCUACAGAGUGAAGAGGUAUAGACAGUGGAAGAAGCACCAGUCUCAGAGGCAGCAAUUUUGGAGUCUGGUCUCAGGUACGCCCUUGACUAUCUGCAAUCUUUGACAAAUUGCUUCCUUCCCUGAGCCUGUUUAUUCACCUGCAAAUUAUGGGAAGGAAGCAGAGACUGUGGUCUGUUCACCCCAUAUCUGUGAUUUCCUUCUUCCUUACUCACACAGCCCUGAUUGGGGGAGCCAUGAACUAGCUACAAAAUCUGCAUUUCCCAACCUCCCUUAUAGCUAUGGCUGGCCGCAUGACCAAUUCUGAUCAAUGAGGCAAAAGCCAAAGUUGUUCCCUUCUUGGGUGGGGUUCCAAGAAGCCUCCUUCGAAAGGAAGCUGACUCCGCUGCCAGGCACCCUUCCCCCUCCUCCUUUCUCCUACCUAGAAUGUGGCCCUGAUGUUUGGAGAGCCAAUGGCCACCUUGUGAUUAGAAGGUGACCUUGAGGGUGAAAGCCACUAGCAGAGGCACUUGGCAGAGAAGAAAGCUAGGAGACGCUAGAGUCUUUGGCGGUACCUUGGAGUUGUGGCCCCAGUUCUGAUCACCCCUGGAUUUCACAGUGCAAGACAGAAA